RNAcentral lists this ribosomal RNA (253 nucleotides) under uncultured prokaryote. RNAcentral's name for it is "partial 16S ribosomal RNA". It matches the Rfam family "Bacterial small subunit ribosomal RNA", at positions 524 to 776 of the family's 1533-position model. The record is from RNAcentral.
UACAGAGGUCCCGAGCGUUGUUCGGAUUCAUUGGGCGUAAAGGGUGCGUAGGCGGCCUUCUAAGUUUGAUGUGAAAUCCCGGGGCUCAACCCUGGAAUGGCAUUGAAUACUGGAGGGCUUGAGUACCGGAGAGGAAACUGGAAUUUACGGUGUAGCAGUGAAAUGCGUAGAUAUCGUAAGGAAGACCAGUGGCGAAGGCGGGUCUCUGGACAGUUCCUGACACUGAGACACGAAGGCCAGGGGAGCAAACGGG